Molecule: ribosomal RNA, 230 nt
Filed under: Vibrio chagasii
Lineage: Bacteria; Pseudomonadati; Pseudomonadota; Gammaproteobacteria; Vibrionales; Vibrionaceae
Description: partial 16S ribosomal RNA
Rfam family: Bacterial small subunit ribosomal RNA
Source: RNAcentral
AAAUUGAAGAGUUUGAUCAUGGCUCAGAUUGAACGCUGGCGGCAGGCCUAACACAUGCAAGUCGAGCGGAAACGACUUAACUGAACCUUCGGGGAACGUUAAGGGCGUCGAGCGGCGGACGGGUGAGUAAUGCCUAGGAAAUUGCCUUGAUGUGGGGGAUAACCAUUGGAAACGAUGGCUAAUACCGCAUGAUGCCUACGGGCCAAAGAGGGGGACCUUCGGGCCUCUCG